RNAcentral lists this transfer RNA (59 nucleotides) under Sorubim lima. Its description in RNAcentral is "tRNA-Leu". Lineage: Eukaryota; Metazoa; Chordata; Actinopteri; Siluriformes; Pimelodidae. The record is from RNAcentral.
GCUUCUAAAGGAUAAUAGUCCAUCCAUGUCUAGACCAAAGUCCGGCUCCAGUAGCAGCU